RNAcentral lists this unclassified non-coding RNA (1060 nucleotides) under Hevea brasiliensis (rubber tree). Lineage: Eukaryota; Viridiplantae; Streptophyta; Magnoliopsida; Malpighiales; Euphorbiaceae. The record is from RNAcentral.
AUGGAGAUAUUAAUUCAUCGCCUAUAAAAUCAAAUACCAUUAGAAAAGUGAAACAGAAAAAUAAUAAGUAAAACAAAAAUAUAACUUCAACACAAUAAGAGCCACGAAUAUGAAUUUAGGGCAAUACAACAAAAAUAGGUGAAACAUGAUGAAAAAACUUCAAUGGGCAGACAUUACUUCCCAUCAACAACUAGAAAUGAAGGAUGUUUUUCUCAAUUACUAGAGCUUUUAUGUCAUGUGAAGGCUGAUCUCAAAGUUCGGUUUCAUUUUGUAACCUCAAUUUUAAAUAGGGGAAAAUUACAAGGCAAAAAUUGGUGCACAGAAGUUGCUACCAAUGAGGAUGCUGAGGUUGCCAAUGAAGACACAGAAAAUUGGCAGCCACUUUGCACGGCAUCCAAUUAUCUACGAAGGGAAAACAUUGGCGCCCAUGUUAUGAUGGGGUUAUAUGCAGCUGGAUGUUCUUGGAUGGAAUUAAAUAAAAUGGGAAUCACACAGGAGAGGCAGCCAACCCUACCUUAAACCAGAUAUUUUUCUUUUCUUCAUUACCCCCUAAUCAUGUGGUAUAAGGAUUCAUUUUCCUUAACCACUGGCCAUGGAUAAUUCAUGUUCUUCAAACAAGAAAAGUUAAAUUAGUAUAGAAUGUAAGAAAGCCCACCUACACUCAUCACAAGACUAAGCUAGGAAAACAAUUACCUUACUCUAUGUUCAUACGUCCAUAGUCAACCAACUACAUAAUAGCCACACUAUUUAGGGGUUUGAUCAUUCUAGUUUUCAUAGGUAAAGUGGACCAUAAUUAUUACAGUUUGGCUCGGGUAAACCCCUAGACAAAUGGAUUAGCGAAACAAGGUAUUAAAUUUUUCCGCAGUUGUCAUGUCCAAUUUUAGUAAUCUACUGAUCAAUUCCGUUCAGUUGUUAGUCGCCUAUUUAAUUUAAACACUUCGCCCAGCCACCAAUUGCAAUACCAAUAAAGUUAACGAGCACAUACCAAAAUUCAUCCAAAGAAAAUAAAAAUUAGAGCUUGUUAAAAAGUUUGUCACCUAGUUCGCAAUCGCUCUCGAGA